This is a non-coding RNA of Triticum aestivum (bread wheat), 110 nucleotides long. The record is from Rfam. NCBI's taxonomy places the organism in Eukaryota, Viridiplantae, Streptophyta, Magnoliopsida, Poales, Poaceae.
AUUCUACUCCCUUCGUCCCAAAAUUCUUGUCUUAUAUUUGUCUAGAUACGGAUGUAUCUAUAUAUGUAAACGAAUCUAAGACAAAAAUUUUGGGACGGAGAGAGUACAUG